RNAcentral lists this ribosomal RNA (378 nucleotides) under Enterobacter sp. JC23. RNAcentral describes it as "bacterial SSU rRNA". It matches the Rfam family "Bacterial small subunit ribosomal RNA", at positions 958 to 1336 of the family's 1533-position model. Lineage: Bacteria; Pseudomonadati; Pseudomonadota; Gammaproteobacteria; Enterobacterales; Enterobacteriaceae. The record is from RNAcentral.
AACGCGAAGAACCUUACCUACUCUUGACAUCCAGAGAACUUUCCAGAGAUGGAUUGGUGCCUUCGGGAACUCUGAGACAGGUGCUGCAUGGCUGUCGUCAGCUCGUGUUGUGAAAUGUUGGGUUAAGUCCCGCAACGAGCGCAACCCUUAUCCUUUGUUGCCAGCGGUCAGGCCGGGAACUCAAAGGAGACUGCCAGUGAUAAACUGGAGGAAGGUGGGGAUGACGUCAAGUCAUCAUGGCCCUUACGAGUAGGGCUACACACGUGCUACAAUGGCGCAUACAAAGAGAAGCGACCUCGCGAGAGCAAGCGGACCUCAUAAAGUGCGUCGUAGUCCGGAUUGGAGUCUGCAACUCGACUCCAUGAAGUCGGAAUCGCU